Molecule: long non-coding RNA, 200 nt
Filed under: Elaeis guineensis (African oil palm)
Lineage: Eukaryota; Viridiplantae; Streptophyta; Magnoliopsida; Arecales; Arecaceae
Description: long non-coding RNA (EGUI_LNC034940)
Source: RNAcentral
GCUGAAGGCAAGUAGGGCUCAUGGCAGACCAAAUGACUACGUGGUCCAUGGUGGACCAAAUGACUACGUGGUCCACAUGGGAACAGGAGUUGGGCGCUGGCUGGGUUUCAAAAGCGUGUGGCUUCAUGCGCUUCUUCAGCAGAAACCAAGCGAUGGACCCAUGUGGGGCCUGAUGCAUGGCUUCAUGUGGAGGCGAGCAU